RNAcentral lists this ribosomal RNA (491 nucleotides) under uncultured bacterium. RNAcentral describes it as "partial 16S ribosomal RNA". It matches the Rfam family "Bacterial small subunit ribosomal RNA", at positions 29 to 507 of the family's 1533-position model. The record is from RNAcentral.
GUGAACGCUGGCGGUAGGCCUAACACAUGCAAGUCGAACGGCAGCACAGUAAGAGCUUGCUCUUACGGGUGGCGAGUGGCGGACGGGUGAGGAAUACAUCGGAAUCUACUUUUUCGUGGGGGAUAACGUAGGGAAACUUACGCUAAUACCGCAUACGACCUACGGGUGAAAGCAGGGGAUCUUCGGACCUUGCGCGAUUGAAUGAGCCGAUGUCAGAUUAGCUAGUUGGCGGGGUAAAGGCCCACCAAGGCGACGAUCCGUAGCUGGUCUGAGAGGAUGAUCAGCCACACUGGAACUGAGACACGGUCCAGACUCCUACGGGAGGCAGCAGUGGGGAAUAUUGGACAAUGGGCGCAAGCCUGAUCCAGCCAUACCGCGUGGGUGAAGAAGGCCUUCGGGUUGUAAAGCCCUUUUGUUGGGAAGGAAAAGCAGCAGGUUAAUACCCCGCUGUUCUGACGGUACCCAAAGAAUAAGCACCGGCUAACUUCGUG